Hypanus sabinus (Atlantic stingray) is the source of this 6774-nucleotide long non-coding RNA. RefSeq lists it as uncharacterized. NCBI's taxonomy places the organism in Eukaryota, Metazoa, Chordata, Chondrichthyes, Myliobatiformes, Dasyatidae. The record is from RefSeq and is a predicted model, not a curated record. The transcript has 7 exons.
CCCCACCCCCGCCCCCGUGAUCCGUCAAUCAGUGAUGUCCACUACAAUAGUUCAGCUGCUCAAUUCAAGCAUACGUGAAAUUGUCAUAAAUAUGCAGGCGAUGUUAUUUCGGAAUAUUACAUUCUGCAAACAGUUUCAAACUUGACUGAUUAUAAUGCAGUCGCACCAAUAAUCUCUUAUUAAAACUUUGCAGGCCAAAACUAGCUCUCCCGCUCUGGUACUGUUACAUAAACAUCGCACAAUUAAAAAGCAGCGCAGAAACCUGAGGUAUUCGAUAAAAGACUGUUGUAGAAAGGAAGUUGGGCAUUCCUGAACGACUCAGUAUUUACAAUUAACACGAGUGGUUAUUGUAAAUGUAAACCCCUGAUCUAUUUUCUAAACCACUAUACAGUAGAUUAUUAACAUAACCAGAACUGUGCUGUUUUUAUUCUAAGAAAACUUCGUGAAUGCGGCCUGGAAAAUCUGUUAUAAAUUACUUAAAAUCAAAAGCAAAUAUAUACCACACAGCUAUCUUGUGCGCCCGUGUUCACAGUGCGCAUUAUUUUUGUCUCAAUUGCGAUUCUUCAAUGAUAUUGAAAUAUACUUGAGUGGAGAAUGUGAUAUUAAUACGGGGCUACUGGGCUUGUCGUACAGGCCGAGCAAGAUGCAAUGUCCCUUUAAAAGGGAGUGGGUUAGAAACGCGUCCCGGCUUGGUGGCCUGCGUCUCGGUUCACGAGUCAAGUUGAAGUCGGCGGCUUCUCCGUGCGCCUCGGCCAUUACCGCUACGAUCACAUACACUUCGCCACACACUUGGACUGGAAAUGUGCUGUCUGAACUGCUGAACAUUUCCAGUAGUUUCUGCCUUUAUUUCGGAUUCCCGGCUUUCGCUUUCUGUCGACAGCAACUUGCCAGAGUCCUCUGUCCUGGACCAGUCUUUCAAGUUGGCCCCAGCUGAAUGAAUUUGGAAACCCAGAACAAGUUGGAUUUUGUGGAAAGAAUAGCAUAUUUCUACAAAUGUACCAUGGAGAGAGCAUUCUAAAUGUCUGGUAUGGAGGGGGCACUGCACAAGAUCGGAAAAAAAGCUACACAAACUUAUAAAUUCAAUCAGCUCCAUCAUGGGUACUCGGCUCCCCAGCAUCGAGGGCACUUUCAAAAGGCGGUACCCAUCAUCACGGACCCGCAUCACCCAGGACGUGCCCUCUGCUCACUGUUACCAUCAGGGAGGAGGGACAGGAGCCUGGAGACACGCACUCAAUGUUUCAGGAACAGCUUCUUCCCCACUGCGAAUUCAGGAUUCUGAAUGGACUGCGAACCCGUGACUACCACCUCACUAUUCUUUCUCUCUUUUCGAGCUACACUGUCCGGCCACCAUGGAGUUGUAACUAAUGAAACGUUCUGGUUACUUUAGUUACACUAGUUGACAUCAUACACCGGAAAAUGGCUUCAGUAGUGCUGAACUCGAAUAAAGAGGAAGGUUGGGAGAAAUGCAAUCGACAACCAUUCGAAAAGAAGAGCUUUUAAAUUCCUUUACAUUACGCCAGACUGAAAACAACCGACAGGAAACAAAAAUGUGGUUGAAUGGUUUACAUUUGAAACUUUUCCCUUUGAAGUGAAGGAGGAUGAGAGUUGACUUGUUACAGGCGUACAAAAGGAGUCCUCGUGCAGGAUUCCCUAAAGGUCGCAUGUGGGAUUUCCAGUUGGCGGACAACUUCCCUACACGGCGCUCUGACAUAUCGGGAAAUCCUGUACUCGGCAGGUUACAGCAAUGGUUUGCUUUUGCCUUCUGCCAACAAAUCGAUGAAAUACGUUUCAGAAGCUUUAAUUUGACAGAGAAAGUGGAAGAGACGAUGCCUCAGGUCGCACGAGACCAGGUUCAGAAACAGUUAUUACCCCCGAACCAUCAGACUUCUGAACCACUGCAAAUAACUUCAGUCCCCUCAGCUCUGAAAUGACUCCACGAGCUAUAGACUCACUUUGGGCCUAUUGAAUAUUGAAAGGCCUCGAUAGAGUGGAUGUGGAGAGGAUGCAACAGGGGGCAAAGACUCGGAAUAAUGUCCAUUUAGAACCGAGAUGAGGAGGAUUUCUUUGGCCAAAGGGUUGUUAAUCUGUGGAAUUCAUUGCCACCAAUGGCUGUCGAGAGCCAAGACAUUGAGUAUAUUUAAAGCGGAAUUGAUAUGUUCUUGAUUAGUCGGGGCGUCUAAGAUUACGGGAAGAAAGCGGGAGAAUGGGGUUGAGAGGGAUAAUAAAUCAGCCAUGAUGGAAUGACGGAAAGAACUUCAUGAACGAAUGGUUGGAUUCAGCUCCAUCGACUUAUAGUCUGCAAACGCUGCCUGACCUGCUGUCGUACUCUGGCAUUGUGUGUGUUGCUCCGGAUUUCCAGUAUGAACAGAAGAGAUUCUGCAGAUUCACCGUAAUCUUUUAACGUGGUCCUUCUGAUUUAUUCGCGUUUACUCCAGAUGAAUGUUCCUGACUCUGUUUGAUGUGGGGAAUCACAAACACAAACAUGAAGACCCACCCUAGAGUUCAUGAACUACUCCGGGAUGUGUUCAAUGAUGAAAAGCGACAGAUUUCACUGUAUAUUUUGAUGUACAACUGACAAAUGCUCUGUGGGACUGCAGUGGUUAGUGGGAUGCUUUUACAGCUUGGGCUGUCAGAGUUCGGAGAUCAAUUAUGACACUAGCUGUAAGGAGUGUGUACAUUCUCCCCGUGACCACAUGGGUUUCCUCCGGGUGCUCUGGUUUCCUCCCACAGUCCACAUGGGUUAGUAAGUUAAUUGGACAUUGUAAAUUGUCCUGUGAUUAGGCUGGGGUUAAAUAGCUGGGGUCGCUGGGCAGAAAGGGCUUGUUCCAUGCUGUAUCUCUAAAAAAAAAUAAAAUAAUGCCAACCUUUAUCUCUAUUAUGACAGUUUAAAUCCUCAGCACUCAAUAUUUGUGACUGAUGUAAAAUUAUUAGUUGGAAAACACUUGGCAUCAAAGUCAAAAUAAAAUAUAUCAUGAAAGUACGUAUAUCCAUGUACUACCUUGAGAUUAAUUUUCUUGUUGGUAUUUACAGGCAAAUAAAGCAAUAGAACAGAAUUUACAAAUAAAUUAUAUAUAACCAAGUCUGACAAACACCCAAUGUGAAAAAGACAAAUUGUGCAAAUAAAAAUGCUGAGAAUAUGAGUUGUGUACAGUCCUUGAAAGAGAGUCUGUAGGUUGUGGAAUCGGUUCAGAGUUGACGUGAGUGAAGUUAUCCACACUGGUUCAGGAGCCUGCUGGUUGAGAGGUAAUAACUAUGCCUAAACUUGGUGGUGUGAGUCCUGAGGUCUUUAUACUAAAUGGAUAUAGGAUUGUUAAUAUAUCGCAAGCAGUGAGAAUGGUUGCUCCAUAACUCCAGGAACACAGAUUUGAUCCUACUCUCAGACCGCUUUUGCCCAUUUUCCACGUGACAGUGUGGGUUUCCCCUGGGUGUUCUGGUUUUCUCCCACGUAAGCCCAUAUGACAUAGGAGAAGAAUCAGGUCAUUUGACCCAUUGAGUCUCCUCCACCAUUCCAUCAUGGUUGAUAUAUUAUCCCUCUCAACCCCAUUCCCCUGCCUUCUCCCCGAAAUCUUUUGACACCUGACUAAUCAAGAACCUAUCAAACUCUACUUUAAAUAUACUCAAUGACUUGGCUUUCACAUCCAUCAGUAGCAAUGAAUUCCACAGAUUCACUGCCCUCUGGCUAAAAAAUUCCUUCUCAUCUCUGUUCUAAAUGGAUGUCUGUCUAUUCUGAGGCUGUGCUGCCACUGUAGGAAAUAUCCUCUCCACAUCCACUCUAUCUAGGCCUUUCAAUAAUCAAUAGGUUUCAUGAAACCCCCUCAGUCUACUAAACUCCAAUGAGUACAGGCCCAGAGCCAUCAAAUGCUCCUCACAUGUUAACCCUUUCAUUCCCAGAAUCAUUCUUGUGAACCUUCUCUGGACCCUCUCCAAUGGUAACACAUCUUUUCUGAGAUAAGGGGCCUAAAACUGCUCACAACAAUCCCAAAUGUGUGCUGGUAGUUUAAUUGGUGCUGUGAAUUACAGUUCUUCUUUCUCAGUCCUUUAACUGUUCCACCUACCACCUGCCAGCUUGUCAUUUCAUUCCCACCCACCCACCUUCCCCCUGACCUGAUCUCACCUUUCACUUGCCAAAUUGUUCUCAGUCCCCACCCCACUUUCUAUUUUGGCUUCUUCCUCCUUCCUUUCCACUCCUGAUGAAGGAUCCCAGCUCAAUACAACAAUUGUUUAUUCAGUUCCAUUGAUGCUGCAUGACCUGCUGAGUUCCUCUGGCAUUUUGUAUGUGUUGCUCUGAAUUUCCAGCAUCUACAGAAUCUCUUUCGUUUAUGGUGCCAGUCAAUUACUCCUUAGUGUCAGCAAUGUUCUUUAAGGUUGUCAUAGCCGGGGAUGGGAGAGGUAGUGGUGAUAAACUCCCACUACCUGCUAAAUGUCCCUAGUGGUGUGCAUCUCGAUAGCCUCUGACAACAAAGUUCAGCUUCCGGCUUUCACAUGUGGCUUAGCUGCUAAACCCAGCGGAACCAUUUCUACUGACAGGAGAAGGAGCAAACCGGUUACUGGUGGCUUAAGACCAGUCAGAAGUAGAUUGUUAGCCAAGGUUGGCAGCUUAUCGAGAUGAAUAAAACCUCUGAUCUCAAACCUCUGCUGCCUUGUGGCCAAACCCACUCAUGGGGAAGGCUUCAGGAGUAAACUCUGAGGGAAAGUCCAGAAGACAGUCCUAUAUUGAGUUCAACUCCUGUGAUGCUCUUGGUAACAAACAGUAUCAGUCUCUGCCAUUGGUUUGGAUUCAUCAGCUGUGUGGAGAAGAGAGAGCCUGCUAUAUGAGCAACAGCUUGCUCUCCAUAUCCUACUGCCCUGGCUUACAUACCGUCUUGUGUAUCAUGUAGACAGCUGGGUUGCAACAUAUCGUACUACUCUGGUUUACAUAUCAUGUAGACAGCUGUCAAUCCUGACCUCAGUGUCAAAGGAAAUGAAAGGGAAGUUGGUGGGUCAAAGAGUCAUUCAGCACUGAAUCAGGCCCUUUGGCCCAGAUGAAGAUUCUCAUCUCAGCUAGUCCCAUCACUGGACACUCAGCUGUCACCCGUGCCUCAAAGUGGCUGUUUGCAAGUGACAGCAGCCACACCCUGAUACACUGCUUUGACAAGCAGGCUAACCAUGUGAGGGUAGCCAGUGGGCCACAAACCCAAGUGAGAUAGAGACAUACCUGUUCUAGUAUGUGAAGUCAGCUCCAGCAGACUGGACAGAUGAGAUCUACAGUGAAAUCCACUGACUGGGGUGGUCAGUUCUGCAACACUCUGUGGAGAGCGAAGGGCAUGACAAGGCACAGAAGAAGUCAUGGUCAUCCAUUGGAACCAAGGAAGAGCCCAGUUUGUGGAGACUACUUGUACCACUGGAUCCAGACUUCCGAAGUUGAGAGAGUGGAACCGUCAUAGUGAAGUAGCUUUUCCACUUUCAAAACUCUCCUGCACAGGUUUUUUGUCAUUGUUGGAUACAACGGAGAAAUAACCAGCAACUUAGUAAAGACCUAGACCACUGAUCCUCCGACAUAAACUGGAAACCAACUAAGGCAGGCAAGGAAUUUAAAUUCAGAGAAAUAGAUUACUCAGUCACAAAGAGCAUGAAACUACUAUCCAUCACACUAACAUCCUUCAGUAAAGCAGGAGUCUCAGCUCAACACAGAAGAUACUGGAGAGAAGAGCAGACUCAGGAGAGGCACCAGACAGAGGUGAUGGGCAGGUAAAGAGAGGAAAAUGGGUAAGAGGGGAAUCAGAAUGGGGAGUGGAAAACAGUGGGGGGGGGGAGGGGUGGAAGAAAUUACUGAAAGUUAGCAAGAUCAAUGUUUAUGCUAUCAGGUUGGACACUACCCAGACAGAAUAUGAGAGGUUAUUAUUCAUUGUGACAAAAGAAGAGGCCAUGGACAAACAAGUCAAAAUGUUAAAGGGAAAGGAAAUUAAAAUGGGUGCCCACCAGGAAAUGCUGCCUUUUGCGGCUGACCGAUGAGGUGCACGGUGAAGUGGACUCCCAAUCUGUGUGGGGUUUCACCAAUGUUUGCCUUCUCAUUCUGGCUUCUUCCCCACUAACUUGCUCAAUUUUUCUCUUUUUUUGCCCUACUUAUUUAAUUUCUUUCUAUAUUUUUCCUAAUGUAAUUGAUAUGUUUCUAUUAUUGUUAUAUAUUGCAAUGUCCUGCAGCCGAAAAGCUACAAAUUUCACAGCAUACUACAACUAUAAUUCAAAGACGAUCUACAACUCUCAAUGCCGAUGCACACUUGGAACAUCAUCCCAUCCCAGGCCCUUGUUAGUUCAGUUUCCUGCCAUCUGGUAGGAGAUACAGAAACAUCUUAGCCACAACAGUAAGACUGAAAAACAGUUUCUUCCCCAGGGCUGUUGUGCAGCUGAAUAAUGCUACACCCCGGCUUGUCUACAGCCUUUGAGAGUUACAGAGUUCCAUGUAAAUAUGGGAAUUUUUAGAAAAUUAAACUGUACCACAUGCAUUGUAAAUAUCUGUUUUGCACAGACUGGAAUAGCUCUGCAGUCUUAUUGUCUUGAACAAUGACAAUAACAUUCUCUACUAUUCUAUUCUAUAUGCCAGUGAUAAGUAAACCUGAUCCAUCGGUUCUAUUUGCUAAAGAGAUCAAACAAUAACCAGUGCAGAUAAACAUUCUCAUGUCAAAUUGAAAAGCAAAAUCCUGCACCUAUCAGAAGAAGUUGGGGCAUGCAACAUCUCAGGAAAGGGAAACAGAAUCAGCAUUUCAAGUCAAUGGUCUUCCAUCCAAAUCAUUCUGG